This 346-nucleotide ribosomal RNA is filed under the name uncultured Pelotomaculum sp. RNAcentral's name for it is "bacterial SSU rRNA". It matches the Rfam family "Bacterial small subunit ribosomal RNA", at positions 1036 to 1382 of the family's 1533-position model. The record is from RNAcentral. Lineage: Bacteria; Bacillati; Bacillota; Clostridia; Eubacteriales; Desulfotomaculaceae.
AGGUGGUGCAUGGUUGUCGUCAGCUCGUGUCGUGAGAUGUUGGUUAAGUCCCGCAACGAGCGCAACCCCUACGUUUAGUUGCUAACAGGUGAAGCUGAGCACUCUAGACGAACUGCCGUUGACAAAACGGAGGAAGGUGGGGAUGACGUCAAAUCAUCAUGCCCCUUAUGUUCUGGGCUACACACGUGCUACGAUGGCCGGUACAGACGGAGGCGAAGCCGCGAGGCGGAGCAAAUCCGAAAAAGCCGGUCUCAGUUCGGAUUGCAGGCUGCAAUUCGCCUGCAUGAAGUCGGAAUCGCUAGUAAUCGCAGGUCAGCAUACUGCGGUGAAUACGUUCCCGGGCCUU